AAGACUGUACUUUCAGGGAUCAUUUCUGUAGUUCGUUACUAGAUUGACAUGCUGGUACCUAAAGCCUUGGGAGUAAUAGGAGCUGGCGCAGGGGCAGGGAGAGCCAUAGCAGCAGGCUGCGUCUACCCAUGCCUCAGAGGGUUUUUUGUUUUGCUUUUUGUUGUUUUGUCUUGUUUUGUUUUGUUUUUGAGACAAAGCCUAGGCUAUCUCUGAAUAGC
Molecule: non-coding RNA, 218 nt
Organism: Arvicanthis niloticus (Nile rat)
Lineage: Eukaryota; Metazoa; Chordata; Mammalia; Rodentia; Muridae
Source: RefSeq, a predicted model, not a curated record